GAACCACCUGAUCCCAUGCCGAACUCAGAAGUGAAACGCGGUAGCGCCGAUGGUAGUGUGGCAUUCGCCAUGCGAGAGUAGGACACUGCCAGGC
RNAcentral lists this ribosomal RNA (94 nucleotides) under Aeromonas hydrophila. Lineage: Bacteria; Pseudomonadati; Pseudomonadota; Gammaproteobacteria; Aeromonadales; Aeromonadaceae. The record is from RNAcentral. RNAcentral also lists the same sequence under 7 other names.